UACAGAGGUGGCAAGCGUUGUUCGGAAUUACUGGGCGUAAAGGGCGCGUAGGCGGUUCGUUAAGUCCUGUGUGAAAUCCCCCGGCUCAACUGGGGAACUGCACAGGAAACUAGCGGGCUUGAGUUCGGGAGAGGGGAGCGGAAUUCCGGGUGUAGCGGUGAAAUGCGUAGAUAUCCGGAGGAACACCGGUGGCGAAGGCGGCUUCCUGGACCGACACUGACGCUGAGGCGCGAAAGCUAGGGGAGCAAACGGG
Molecule: ribosomal RNA, 253 nt
Filed under: uncultured bacterium
Lineage: Bacteria
Description: partial 16S ribosomal RNA
Rfam family: Bacterial small subunit ribosomal RNA
Source: RNAcentral